AUUGAACGCUGGCGGCAUGAUUUACACAUGCAAGUCGAACGGUAACAGGCCGCAAGGUGCUGACGAGUGGCGUACGGGUGAGUAAUGCAUCGGAACGUGCCCAGUCGUGGGGGAUAACUACUCGAAAGAGUAGCUAAUACCGCAUACGAUCUAUGGAUGAAAGCGGGGGACCGUAAGGCCUCGCGCGCUUGGAGCGGCCGAUGUCAGAUUAGGUAGUUGGUGGGGUAAAGGCUCACCAAGCCAACGAUCUGUAGCUGGUCUGAGAGGACGACCAGCCACACUGGGACUGAGACACGGCCCAGACUCCUACGGGAGGCAGCAGUGGGGAAUUUUGGACAAUGGGCGCAAGCCUGAUCCAGCAAUGCCGCGUGCAGGAAGAAGGCCUUCGGGUUGUAAACUGCUUUUGUACGGAACGAAACGGCUCUGGUUAAUACCCGGGGCUAAUGACGGUACCGUAAGAAUAAGCACCGGCUAACUACGUG
Molecule: ribosomal RNA, 482 nt
Filed under: uncultured bacterium
Lineage: Bacteria
Description: partial 16S ribosomal RNA
Rfam family: Bacterial small subunit ribosomal RNA
Source: RNAcentral